CCCUUAGAUGUUCUGGGCUGCACGCGCGCUACACUGAUGCGCUCAACGAGUUUUCGAACUUGCCCGGAAGGGUUGGUUAAUCUUUUUAAAACGCAUCGUGAUGGGGAUAGAUUAUUGCAAUUAUUAAUCUUCAACGAGGAAUUCCUAGUAAACGCAAGUCAUCAACUUGCAUUGAUUACGUCCCUGCCCUUUGUACACACCGCCCGUCGCACCUACCGAUUGAAUGGUCCGGUGAAGCCUCCGGAUUGGCGCGCACCUCGGUGCCGCCGAGAAGUUGGCUAAACCUUACCAUUUAGAGGAAGGUGAAGUCGUAACA
Molecule: ribosomal RNA, 316 nt
Filed under: uncultured eukaryote
Lineage: Eukaryota
Description: partial 18S ribosomal RNA
Rfam family: Eukaryotic small subunit ribosomal RNA
Source: RNAcentral